RNAcentral lists this unclassified non-coding RNA (156 nucleotides) under soil metagenome. RNAcentral's name for it is "partial internal transcribed spacer 1". The record is from RNAcentral.
CAGGACUCGCAAGACUCCUACAACCCUGUGAACCUACUAUACGAACGUUGCUUCGGCGGGUGCGCCCCGGGGAUUCGUUCCCGCGGCGCGUCAGCCCGCCGGCAGCCUACAAUUCUGUUUCUUUGCGUUGGCAUCUCGAGAAAAACAAAUAAGUUA